UAUGCCUACGGGACGCAGCAGUGGGGAAUAUUGCACAAUGGGGGGAACCCUGAUGCAGCGACGCCGCGUGAGUGAAGAAGUAUUUCGGUAUGUAAAGCUCUAUCAGCAGGGAAGAAAAUGACGGUACCUGACUAAGAAGCCCCGGCUAACUACGUGCCAGCAGCCGCGGUACUACGUAGGGGGCAAGCGUUAUCCGGAUUUACUGGGUGUAAAGGGAGCGUAGACGGCGAUGCAAGUCAGAAGUGAAAGCCCGCGGCUCAACUGCGGGACUGCUUUUGCAACUGUAUAGCUUGAGUGCAGGAGAG
RNAcentral lists this ribosomal RNA (305 nucleotides) under uncultured bacterium. RNAcentral describes it as "bacterial SSU rRNA". It matches the Rfam family "Bacterial small subunit ribosomal RNA", at positions 334 to 656 of the family's 1533-position model. The record is from RNAcentral.